RNAcentral lists this ribosomal RNA (585 nucleotides) under uncultured bacterium. RNAcentral's name for it is "bacterial SSU rRNA". It matches the Rfam family "Bacterial small subunit ribosomal RNA", at positions 338 to 916 of the family's 1533-position model. The record is from RNAcentral.
CCUACGGGAGGCGGCAGUGGGGAAUUUUGGACAAUGGGCGCAAGCCUGAUCCAGCAAUGCCGCGUGAGUGAAGAAGGCCUUCGGGUUGUAAAGCUCUUUUGUCAGGGAAGAAACGGUUGGGGCUAAUAUCCUCGGCUAAUGACGGUACCUGAAGAAUAAGCACCGGCUAACUACGUGCCAGCAGCCGCGGUAAUACGUAGGGUGCAAGCGUUAAUCGGAAUUACUGGGCGUAAAGCGUGCGCAGGCGGUUUUGUAAGUCUGUCGUGAAAGCCCCGGGCUUAACCUGGGAAUUGCGAUGGAGACUGCAAGGCUUGAAUCUGGCAGAGGGGGGUAGAAUUCCACGUGUAGCAGUGAAAUGCGUAGAGAUGUGGAGGAACACCGAUGGCGAAGGCAGCCCCCUGGGUCAAGAUUGACGCUCAUGCACGAAAGCGUGGGGAGCAAACAGGAUUAGAUACCCUGGUAGUCCACGCCCUAAACGAUGUCUACUAGUUGUCGGGUCUUAAUUGACUUGGUAACGCAGCUAACGCGUGAAGUAGACCGCCUGGGGAGUACGGUCGCAAGAUUAAAACUCAAAUGAAUUGACGG